GGCGUCGGGGUGGUAGCGCACGAACACGCCGAAGAGGACCACCAUGGUCACCUGCAGCAGCAGGCAGAUGAGCGGCAGCCGCCAGCGAAGAGAUUUUGGGAAAAUACAGAGAUGCACAAAGAAGGAAGUAAAAUCCAACUGUAAUCCCACCACCCAGAAGGAACACUGAUAUUUUGGGAUGGAGAUUGUAGCUACAUCCUGCAGAUGCAAAAACAGAGCCCUCAGCUGAUCCCAGGAACUUACCAAGAUUCAGACCCUGGGCUGUCUGAUUUCAAAGGCUGUCGUCUUUCCAACAUCCCAGUCCAACCAGGACUAGAGGAGGUUUGAAUUCAAAUGUGUACCUUGUCUAUUGGGGGCAGACAUCUAAGUGUAUGGCCAUGGGAGUCCGUGGAGGGUAGGAACACGGAGCUGGGUGGGGGAGGCCGCUGCAUGUAGAUCCAUGGGCCUCUGCAUCCCACUGAGUUACAGGACAUUUAUGGGGGAGGGAGGCUGCAAUGGCACAGUCCCUGAGACCUGGUCUGGGAGGGGAGGUGACCACCUUAGGGACAGGAAGAGAGAAGUCAAGCUCCUUGGAAGAGCACCAGGCCAGCCCAGCAGGCCACCCACCUCAGGCGAGCCCCAAGUGUGUUCUGAUGGGGUGCAGGAGGCUGCAGCAGGGGAGGCAGGGCUGAGGGGAUGGCCCUGGGCCCUUCUCCACUUUCUCCCGCCCCAAUCUCUACAUCCCUCAUCCCUCUUUCCUCCCAGCACGAUUGCCCUGCCCUUGCCUUCCCUGUUUAUCUGUCCAGGAUCUUCUUCCUACACCACAAGUUCAGCCCCAAAGAGCGAGAGCAAUGAGAAGAGAACCUAGCUUAAGAGAGUUGCUUAUUCAUUAUUUUUACAAAUGAAGGGGUGAAUGCUUCCUAUUUAUCUUGCUAAUCCAACCAUGCACAGCUCAGUAUGAGGAGUAAAUAGCUGUACAAAGACGCCCUGCCCCUGCACUGUGGAUACUUCAGAAGAGGAAGCCAAGUUGGGCCCCCUGCACAACAGCUCUGCACAGCUUCCUGGUUUGCUGUGGCCCUCAAAGGAGGCCACAUUGCAUGGUGAUGAGCACUUGAUUCAGAGGUUAAUGGGGCCCUGGUGGAAGUCCCAGCCCUGUUACUUCCUGCUGAGCAACCUCAGGCAAGCUGCUGCGUCUUUCUGGAUGUCUCUUUCCCCAUCCAUACAAUGAGGGUGGCAGUAGUCUGUGAUGGCUCUGGUGUAUGCAUGCUUUCUUCUGUUUUAUCUUGUCCCCCUCCAUACUGGAUAUUGAACCCU
Long non-coding RNA from Chinchilla lanigera (long-tailed chinchilla), 1293 nucleotides. RefSeq lists it as uncharacterized. The transcript has 4 exons. Lineage: Eukaryota; Metazoa; Chordata; Mammalia; Rodentia; Chinchillidae. The record is from RefSeq and is a predicted model, not a curated record.